GGGGGAUAUUGCGCAAUGGGGGCAACCCUGACGCAGCAACGCCGCGUGAAGGAUGAAGGUUUUCGGAUUGUAAACUUCUUUUAUUAAGGACGAAAAAUGACGGUACUUAAUGAAUAAGCUCCGGCUAACUACGUGCCAGCAGCCGCGGUAAUACGUAGGGAGCAAGCGUUGUCCGGAUUUACUGGGUGUAAAGGGUGCGUAGGCGGCUUUGCAAGUCAGAUGUGAAAUCUAUGGGCUCAACCCAUAAACUGCAUUUGAAACUGUAGAGCUUGAGUGAAGUAGAGGCAGGCGGAAUUCCCCGUGUAGCGGUGAAAUGCGUAGAGAUGGGGAGGAACACCAGUGGCGAAGGCGGCCUGCUGGGCUUUAACUGACGCUGAGGCACGAAAGCGUGGGUAGCAAACAGGAUUAGAUACCCUGGUAGUCCACGCUGUAAACGAUGAUUACUAGGUGUGGGGGGUCUGACCCCUUCCGUGCCGGAGUUAACACAAUAAGUAAUCCACCUGGGGAGUACGGCCGCAAGGUUGAAACUCAAAGGAAUUGACGGGGGCCCGCACAAGCAGUGGAGUAUGUGGUUUAAUUCGAAGCAACGCGAAGAACCUUACCAGGUCUUGACAUCCAACUAACGAAGUAGAGAUACAUUAGGUGCCCUUCGGGGAAAGUUGAGACAGGUGGUGCAUGGUUGUCGUCAGCUCGUGUCGUGAGAUGUUGGGUUAAGUCCCGCAACGAGCGCAACCCUUGCUAUUAGUUGCUACGCAAGAGCACUCUAAUAGGACUGCCGUUGACAAAACGGAGGAAGGUGGGG
RNAcentral lists this ribosomal RNA (802 nucleotides) under uncultured bacterium. RNAcentral's name for it is "bacterial SSU rRNA". It matches the Rfam family "Bacterial small subunit ribosomal RNA", at positions 356 to 1178 of the family's 1533-position model. The record is from RNAcentral.